GGAGAGAUGGCUGAGUGGACUAAAGCGUCGGAUUGCUAAUCCGUUAUACGAAUAAUUCGUAUCGAGGGUUCGAAUCCCUCUCUCUCCG
RNAcentral lists this transfer RNA (88 nucleotides) under Pennilabium yunnanense. RNAcentral describes it as "tRNA-Ser". It matches the Rfam family "tRNA". From Rfam's summary of the family: Transfer RNA (tRNA) molecules are approximately 80 nucleotides in length. Their secondary structure includes four short double-helical elements and three loops (D, anti-codon, and T loops). Further hydrogen bonds mediate the characteristic L-shaped molecular structure. tRNAs have two regions of fundamental functional importance: the anti-codon, which is responsible for specific mRNA codon recognition, and the 3' end, to which the tRNAs corresponding amino acid is attached (by aminoacyl-tRNA synthetases). tRNAs cope with the degeneracy of the genetic code in two manners: having more than one tRNA (with a specific anti-codon) for a particular amino acid; and 'wobble' base-pairing, i.e. permitting non-standard base-pairing at the 3rd anti-codon position. Lineage: Eukaryota; Viridiplantae; Streptophyta; Magnoliopsida; Asparagales; Orchidaceae. The record is from RNAcentral.